GUGGAAUGCGGCGUGCUAUACAUGCAAGUCGAACGAAACUUUCUUACACCGAAUGCUUGCAUUCACCGUAAGAAGUUGAGUGGCGGACGGGUGAGUAACACGUGGGUAACCUGCCUAAAAGAAGGGGAUAACACUUGGAAACAGGUGCUAAUACCGUAUAUCUCUAAGGAUCGCAUGAUCCUUAGAUGAAAGAUGGUUCUGCUAUCGCUUUUAGAUGGACCCGCGGCGUAUUAACUAGUUGGUGGGGUAACGGCCUACCAAGGUGAUGAUACGUAGCCGAACUGAGAGGUUGAUCGGCCACAUUGGGACUGAGACACGGCCCAAACUCCUACGGGAGGCAGCAGUAGGGAAUCUUCCACAAUGGACGCAAGUCUGAUGGAGCAACGCCGCGUGAGUGAAGAAGGUCUUCGGAUCGUAAAACUCUGUUGUUAAAGAACAGAACACGAGUGAGAGUAACUGUUCAUUCGAUGACGGUAUCUAACCAGCAAGUCACGGCUAACUACGUGCCAGCAGCCGCGGUAAUACGUAGGUGGCAAGCGUUGUCCGGAUUUAUUGGGCGUAAAGGGAACGCAGGCGGUCUUUUAAGUCUGAUGUGAAAGCCUUCGGCUUAACCGGAGUAGUGCAUUGGAAACUGGAAGACUUGAGUGCAGAAGAGGAGAGUGGAACUCCAUGUGUAGCGGUGAAAUGCGUAGAUAUAUGGAAGAACACCAGUGGCGAAAGCGGCUCUCUGGUCUGUAACUGACGCUGAGGUUCGAAAGCGUGGGUAGCAAACAGGAUUAGAUACCCUGGUAGUCCACGCCGUAAACGAUGAAUGCUAGGUGUUGGAGGGUUUCCGCCCUUCAGUGCCGCAGCUAACGCAAUAAGCAUUCCGCCUGGGGAGUCGACCGCAAGGUUGAAACUCAAAGGAAUUGACGGGGGCCCGCACAAGCGGUGGAGCAUGUGGUUUAAUUUGAAGCAACGCGAAGAACCUUACCAGGUCUUGACAUCCUUUGACCACCUAAGAGAUUAGGCUUUCCCUUCGGGGACAAAGUGACAGGUGGUGCAUGGCUGUCGUCAGCUCGUGUCGUGAGAUGUUGGGUUAAGUCCCGCAACGAGCGCAACCCUUGUUGUCAGUUGCCAGCAUUAAGUUGGGCACUCUGGCGAGACUGCCGGUGACAAACCGGAGGAAGGUGGGGACGACGUCAAGUCAUCAUGCCCCUUAUGACCUGGGCUACACACGCGCUACAAUGGACGGUACAACGAGUCGCGAGACCGCGAGGUUUAGCUAAUCUCUUAAAGCCGUUCUCAGUUCGGAUUGUAGGCUGCAACUCGCCUACAUGAAGUCGGAAUCGCUAGUAAUCGCGAAUCAGCAUGUCGCGGUGAAUACGUUCCCGGGCCUUGUACACACCGCCCGUCACACCAUGAGAGUUUGUAACACCCAAAGCCGGUGGGGUAACCGCAAGGAGCCAGCCGUCUAAGGUGGGACAGAUGAUUGGGGUGAAGUCGUAACAAGAGCUAGCCCC
RNAcentral lists this ribosomal RNA (1502 nucleotides) under Ligilactobacillus salivarius. RNAcentral describes it as "bacterial SSU rRNA". It matches the Rfam family "Bacterial small subunit ribosomal RNA". Lineage: Bacteria; Bacillati; Bacillota; Bacilli; Lactobacillales; Lactobacillaceae. The record is from RNAcentral.